RNAcentral lists this long non-coding RNA (589 nucleotides) under Mus spicilegus (steppe mouse). RNAcentral's name for it is "lncRNA (ENSMSIG00000030785.1)". Lineage: Eukaryota; Metazoa; Chordata; Mammalia; Rodentia; Muridae. The record is from RNAcentral.
UUCUGCAGCUUCACACUACAAAAGAGUGAUAUCGAAGACUAGGUUAGAGAAAACCUUAAAAAAGAAUGCUUGCAUAAGGAUUUUAAACGGGGGAAAGAAAACAGGAGAGAUUUUUAGUGACUUUUUAAAUAAUUGGGUUAUGAUGGAUUCACUCCUGUAAUUACAGCGGAUGGUGUGGGCACGGAAAAAAAAAUAGAAAAGAAAAAGAAAACGUAGAGUAAAAUACAACAGCGAGUAAGGAAUUUCCUUUCACCAAAUUGUCUCCGGUCCCUUAAUGGUCUGUAAAUCUUGCUGAGUACUUUGUGUACGGUCCCUAGCAUGGUGAUUUGCAUCCCACUGUCGGCCUCGCUGUUGGCCGCCGCUUGCUGCUGUCUCAGUCCACUUCUGGCUGAGAAAGAGGCAAUCCCUGGUCUGUCCUUUUACUAAUGCCCAGUGGGUGACAGGCUCUUUCCCAGAAGUUGAACAGAGCUACGCUGGCCGAUCCCUCUCUCCGAAGUCAAGUGACCUCUCUGGUAAUGGACUGCCUUUCUGUGAGCUUGCAUCCUGACCAGGCUUUCCAAAUCUAGCCUGUGAAGUGAGAUAAGAAAAA